GAUGAACGCUGGCGGCGUGCCUAAUACAUGCAAGUCGAGCGAACGGACGAGAAGCUUGCUUAUCUGAUGUUAGCGGCGGACGGGUGAGUAACACGUGGAUAACCUACCUAUAAGACUGGGAUAACUUCGGGAAACCGGAGCUAAUACCGGAUAAUAUUUUGAACCGCAUGGUUCAAAAGUGAAAGACGGUCUUGCUGUCACUUAUAGAUGGAUCCGCGCUGCAUUAGCUAGUUGGUAAGGUAACGGCUUACCAAGGCAACGAUGCAUAGCCGACCUGAGAGGGUGAUCGGCCACACUGGAACUGAGACACGGUCCAGACUCCUACGGGAGGCAGCAGUAGGGAAUCUUCCGCAAAGGGCGAAAGCCUGACGGAGCAACGCCGCGUGAGUGAUGAAGGUCUUCGGAUCGUAAAACUCUGUUAUUAGGGAAGAACAUAUGUGUAAGUAACUGUGCACAUCUUGACGGUACCUAAUCAGAAAGCCACGGCUAACUACGUG
RNAcentral lists this ribosomal RNA (497 nucleotides) under uncultured bacterium. RNAcentral describes it as "partial 16S ribosomal RNA". It matches the Rfam family "Bacterial small subunit ribosomal RNA", at positions 28 to 507 of the family's 1533-position model. The record is from RNAcentral.